UACACGCUGUGACUAGCAUAUCAAUAAGCGGAGGAAAAGAAACUAACAAGGAUUCCCCUAGUAACGGCGAGUGAAGCGGGAAGAGCUCAAAUUUGAAAUCUUAAAGGGUUUCCCUUUACGAAUUGUAGUUUAAAGAAGUGUUUUCUGUUGAGGUUUUGGUAAAAGUUCUUUGGAAUAGGACAUCAUAGAGGGUGAGAAUCCCGUAUUUGACCUUUACUUUCAACUUUGUGAUACACUUUCAAAGAGUCGGAUUGUUUGGGAAUGCAGUCCAAAAUGGGUGGUAAAUUUCAUCUAAAGCUAAAUAUUGGCGAGAGACCGAUAGCGAACAAGUACCGUGAGGGAAAGAUGAAAAGAACUUUGAAAAGAGAGUUAAACAGUACGUGAAAUUGUCAAAAGGGAAGCGUUUGACACCAGUAUUGUUUUUCUGAAAAUCAAUUAAAGAACUGUUUAUGCUAAGUUGUUUAGACUUUAUCAGCUAACUGUUUAGUUUUGAGCUUUUCUUUAAUGCACUUUUCAGUUAACAAGUCAACAUCAAUUUCUUUUGCUGUAAAAAAGCUUGAGGAAGGUGGCUUGAGAUUCGUCUUAAGUGUUUAUAGCCUCUUGCCUAUGCAGUCGGAGAGAUUGAGGUCUGCAGCGUAGAUCCUUCGGGGCUAAAUGCAUUUGUGCUAAGUUAUAGCAUUUUAUAGACAACUUGUUGACUAUGAUUUGUCUUGUAGCUUACUCGCUUAUGUUAUUUUACCUACGCUUAGGAUGUUGACAGCAGUAUAGACUGU
This 773-nucleotide ribosomal RNA is filed under the name uncultured Neocallimastigales. Its description in RNAcentral is "partial large subunit ribosomal RNA". It matches the Rfam family "Eukaryotic large subunit ribosomal RNA", at positions 22 to 637 of the family's 3401-position model. Lineage: Eukaryota; Fungi; Neocallimastigomycota; Neocallimastigomycetes; Neocallimastigales. The record is from RNAcentral.